RNAcentral lists this ribosomal RNA (408 nucleotides) under uncultured bacterium. RNAcentral describes it as "partial 16S ribosomal RNA". It matches the Rfam family "Bacterial small subunit ribosomal RNA", at positions 28 to 526 of the family's 1533-position model. The record is from RNAcentral.
GACGAACGCUGGCGGCGUGCUUAACACAUGCAAGUCGAACGAAGUGGCGAACGGGUGAGUAACGCGUAAUCAACCUGCCCUUCAGAGGGUGACAACAGUUGGAAACGACUGCUAAUACCGCAUACUGAAGGAGGGGAUUGCGUCUGAUUAGCUAGUUGGAGGGGUAACGGCCCACCAAGGCGAUGAUCAGGAGCCGGUCUGAGAGGAGGAACGGACACAGUGGGACUUAGAAACGGCCCAGACUCUGACGGGAGGCAGCAGUGGGGAAUCUUCCGCAAUGGACGAAAGUCUGACGGAGCAACGCCGCGUGAGUGAUGACGGCAUUCGGGUUGGAAAGCUGUGUUAAUCGGGACGCGGUACCGGAAUAGAAAGCCACGGAUAACUACGUGCCAGCAGCCGCGGUAAUAC